UCUGUCUCUUGACCCCUUCUCUAGCCAUAUUUUAUCCUACAGUGCUCCACGUUCCAGCCACACCAAAUGCCAGGUAUUUUCCUGAAGAUCUGCUUUCUUGUGCUUCUAAAAUUUUCUUUCUUCCAUAAUAUACUUUCUUAAUUUUGCCCACCACUGUGAACUGAAUCUGGCUAUAUCAAAGAAAGACAGGAUCCACCGGGAAAAUGCCAGGCUUAUAGCAUCCACUGGAGGUGAAAGACCAAGCCUAGAAAACAAAUAGGAUCUGAGGAAGUUUCCGAGAGCCAGAAACAGAAAGCACAGAGUGUGUUUCUGGCAUUGUUAUGAAUAUCUUAAGUGCCUGCUUUGCUGCACUUGGUGCAGUUGCCUUAAUCAUUGCGUGUGCAAGUUUUCAGUCAGAAGAAGAUUACACUUGGACACAGUUGGCUGGUACUAUGCUUUUACACUAUUUACUCUUCAUUGCUGUCUCAGAACUGAUCAUUGCAAGUAUAACUAUCCACUGGAUUGUGCAAGCAUUGCAGUAUCAAGAAUACGGCGACGAGAGUUCCUCACUAUCAGAAUUCUCCAUCUCUUCAUAAUUUGCAAAGAACCGGUGUGACUCUAGUCAAGAGCAAAAGAUGAAUCGUGAAUUAGUGAAGAACUCCGUAAUUUUUUUCAAGAGGCCUGAUGGAGAAUGCAUUUUAAUGAAGUCCUUUCUAGUACUCCUUUUUCCUACUUCUUCAAUAAAGGAUGCAAUUUGAUCACAA
This 743-nucleotide long non-coding RNA is filed under the name Equus asinus (donkey). RNAcentral's name for it is "lncRNA (ENSEASG00005027196.1)". The record is from RNAcentral. Lineage: Eukaryota; Metazoa; Chordata; Mammalia; Perissodactyla; Equidae.